UUUGGGAAAUGAUGCCAAUGAUAAGUAUCAUUAUAUCAGAGGCUGUCUUAUUUCAGAUAGUUCUGAUGAAGCAUUGCACGUCAGUCUGAUCCCAUG
Small nucleolar RNA from Dioscorea cayenensis subsp. rotundata (Guinea yam), 96 nucleotides. RefSeq annotates it as small nucleolar RNA Z122. The record is from RefSeq and is a predicted model, not a curated record. Lineage: Eukaryota; Viridiplantae; Streptophyta; Magnoliopsida; Dioscoreales; Dioscoreaceae. The transcript has a single exon.